UGCGCCUUGCCAGCCCGCUCAGAAACUUAAAGGAAUUGACGGGGGCCCGCACAAGCGGUGGAGCAUGUGGUUUAAUUCGAUGAUACGCGAGGAACCUUACCUGGGCUCAAAUGUAUGUUGACGUAUUCUGAAAGGGAUACUUCUUCGGACAAUAUACAAGGUGCUGCAUGGUUGUCGUCAGCUCGUGCCGUGAGGUGUCGGGUUAAGUCCCAUAACGAGCGCAACCCCUAUCAUUAGUUGCCAUCAGGUCAAGCUGGGGACUCUAAUGAAACUGCCUACGCAAGUAGUGAGGAAGGUGGGGAUGACGUCAAAUCAGCACGGCCCUUACGUCCAGGGCUACACACGUGUUACAAUGGCCAGUACAGAGGGCAGCCACCCCGCGAGGGGCGCUAAUCCUAAAAGCUGGUCCCAGUUCGGAUCGGAGUCUGCAACCCGACUCCGUGAAGCUGGAUUCGCUAGUAAUCGCGCAUCAGCCACGGCGCGGUGAAUACGUUCCCGGGCCUU
RNAcentral lists this ribosomal RNA (504 nucleotides) under uncultured Sphingobacteriales bacterium. RNAcentral's name for it is "bacterial SSU rRNA". It matches the Rfam family "Bacterial small subunit ribosomal RNA", at positions 903 to 1382 of the family's 1533-position model. Lineage: Bacteria; Pseudomonadati; Bacteroidota; Sphingobacteriia; Sphingobacteriales. The record is from RNAcentral.